CUGGAGACAGGUGGCUGCGUGGCUGUCGUCAGCUCGUGUCGUGAGAUGUUGGGUUAAGUCCCGCAACGAGCGCAACCCUUGCCUUUAGUUGCCAGCAGUUCGGCUGGGCACUCUAAAGGGACUGCCGGUGUUAAACCGGAGGAAGGUGGGGAUGACGUCAAGUCCUCAUGGCCUUUAUGACCAGGGCUACACACGUACUACAAUGGCCGAUACAAAGGGCAGCGACACUGCGAGGUGAAGCCAAUCCCGUAAAAUCGGUCUCAGUCCGGAUUGGAGUCUGCAACUCGACUCCAUGAAGUUGGAAUCGCUAGUAAUCGUGGAUCAGCAUGCCACGGUGAAUACGUUCUCGGGGUUU
Molecule: ribosomal RNA, 355 nt
Filed under: uncultured Desulfobulbus sp.
Lineage: Bacteria; Pseudomonadati; Thermodesulfobacteriota; Desulfobulbia; Desulfobulbales; Desulfobulbaceae
Description: bacterial SSU rRNA
Rfam family: Bacterial small subunit ribosomal RNA
Source: RNAcentral